GUUUUAGAAGCAAAUAAUGCGUCGAUCUUGUAAUUCGGAAUUUGGUAUAUUUAUACCCAAAACCA
Molecule: transfer RNA, 65 nt
Filed under: Prosthiostomum siphunculus
Lineage: Eukaryota; Metazoa; Platyhelminthes; Polycladida; Prosthiostomidae
Description: tRNA-Thr
Source: RNAcentral